GUUUGAGAAACACUGCAUUAAGUGACCUGACUUGACCACACCUCUCCAUGCUCUUCAGUCAAUGACGUCGCUUAGUCUCGCGCUUGACACCUUUACUUUGAUUCGGAAUCAAUCCCUCGUCUACUCCACUAGCUUCACUGUCGUUCUACCUGAGCUGGCUGAGUGGUCUCGUCGCCUCUGUCAAGUUUGGAGCCUUCAAAAACUUCGCCCUGAAGUUACUGGGACUUUUCACAUUACCACAAAAGUAAGUUUUAUUUUCUUAACGUUAACACUAGAUGUAUUUUGGUAAGGUUAACAGCGUUCUUUGUAUCGAUAGCUAUCUUAAAUGAGCCUGGUACCUAAGCGGCUAGCUAACGUUAACGUUAACUUUAACUUUCGAGCUAGCACUACUGGUUAACGCUAACGACCACGUAAAUUACUCUAAUCAUAUCACUUUUAUUCGACUUAUGUUGUCAAAACCAAUGUUUACGAAUUGUUUCCGACAAUUCGUAGGGUAGUACCAUAACGUUAGCUGACUCAAAGUCUGUCAUUUGGAAAUUAUUGAAACGUAGGACUUCUAACGUUAUAAGUUACAUUGCUCGCUAUCUGAGGUAAAGUUUGGCUGCUAACGUGGCUAACUAACGUUGUGCCUAGCUAUCAUUUACUUUAAAUAGACAUGUACUUUGUGACAUUCAUUAUCACAUAAACAACGUAGUUAGAAUAGCCUACAUUGCUCGCUAACGUUACGUUGUCUUGGAAUGAAGUUAGCAAGUUAGAAGUUGACAGCUAACGUGGCCAACUAACAGGUCUAGCCAUUAUCUAGCCUACUUUAACUAGACAUGUACUUUGUGACAUUCAUUAUCACUUUUAUUCGACGUAUGUGUUGUGAAAAACAACUUAUAUUAACUAUGCCCCACAGUUGGUCAGGUAGUAGUAUAGUUGACUCGUGAAGACUGACAUUUGGAAACUAUCAAUAGUUUAUGCUAAAACACUGCAGCAACACCGAAAGGUCAGGGCCACAACGCAAAACCGCAAACGAAAUUAAGGCGUUAACGUUAACGCCUCUCCAUAGAAAAACAAUUGGCCAACGCGGAAGCGUUUGACAGUAUGCCUUGAACUAGGACGUUAACGUUGCAUGACCUAAGGCCUGCUAGAUGUUGCCAACAUGCCUGUAAUAUGAACCUCCAUAGGCAUAUGGGUAAUGAACAACAGGGUGAUAUAACACAAAAAUCUACCCUGAAUCCAAUGCUAUCACAUAUUUUCUAACUUUAUGGUGGCGGAAAAAUAAUAGACUUAUCUAGAAUAUCUCAGCCUAUCAACAUACUGGCCCAAUUCUUUUCUGAUUAUAAUGUUACAGCAAACAAACAUAUUUCUAAGUGUGCCCCUAAUAUUUGUGUCGAGUACAUGUCAUGUUAUUUAACCUAAAGGUACUACUUGGUCACACAGAUAAGAGGUUGUGCCGCAUUUUGUUAAUUUAACAUAAUUGUGUUGCAUUGUAAUGUUAUAGCAGUGGUCACGGUUUCACACAAUUUUCUUUAUUCACAACAGAAAGCAAUUGUCUUUUUAAAGACUUCCUCCAUCUCCACCUUCCCUUGUGCUACGGCAGUCUUUGCCAAAGAAAUACUGCAUCUCAAGAUUCCCAUCUCCCAUCCUGUCUUCCCUUGCUGUGCUGCAGACUUUUAAGGCUUGUUCCAGACCAGCCCUGUCCGAGUGGUGUCUGCGUGUCACUUGUGACGCUGCCUAUCAUCGUCUGCACACCCUGCACUACACUGCACUGCACUCAUACAACAGAACCCACUAACGCCUACCUGCAAACAUAUCUACGACAAGAACCAAACACUUGCUGAGAACAUAUCUGACUGCACAUACUGUACUCUGAACCCUUUUGAUUGAAACCGCCUUUGAGAUUGAAACCGCCUUUGAAAUUGAAACCGCCUUUGAAACUGAAUCCUUUUCUGAAUACUACUCUGCAUCAUAUUGAGACUCUGAAUAUCACUCUGAACCAGCAAACCCACUCUAAACAUACCUGCAGACAUAUUUCUGACAAGAAUUGACCACUUUCUGAUCACGCAUACCUUGCUACUAUAUAUUUCAAUAAUACCUGUCAAAGUUGUCUUUGCUGUUAUACCUACUUUUAGACCUGGGCUGUGCUGCAAGACUGAAUCUGAGCUGUGUGAGGACUUCGAGAUUCCAUCCUAGUUCUGCAUAAAACUGAUCAUCUCAAGA
Alosa sapidissima (American shad) is the source of this 2205-nucleotide long non-coding RNA. RefSeq lists it as uncharacterized. The record is from RefSeq and is a predicted model, not a curated record. The transcript has 2 exons. NCBI's taxonomy places the organism in Eukaryota, Metazoa, Chordata, Actinopteri, Clupeiformes, Clupeidae.